Molecule: ribosomal RNA, 433 nt
Filed under: uncultured bacterium
Lineage: Bacteria
Description: partial 16S ribosomal RNA
Rfam family: Bacterial small subunit ribosomal RNA
Source: RNAcentral
AGCGAACGCUGGCGGCAGGCCUAACACAUGCAAGUCGAACGGAUCCUUCGGGAUUAGUGGCGGACGGGUGAGUAACACGUGGGAACGUGCCCUUUGGUUCGGAACAACUCAGGGAAACUUGAGCUAAUACCGGAUGUGCCCUUCGGGGGAAAGAUUUAUCGCCAUUGGAGCGGCCCGCGUCUGAUUAGCUAGUUGGUGAGGUAACGGCCCACCAAGGCGACGAUCAGUAGCUGGUCUGAGAGGAUGAUCAGCCACACUGGGACUGAGACACGGCCCAGACUCCUACGGGAGGCAGCAGUGGGGAAUCUUGCGCAAUGGGCGAAAGCCUGACGCAGCCAUGCCGCGUGAAUGAUGAAGGUCUUAGGAUUGUAAAAUUCUUUCAGCGGGGACGAUAAUGACGGUACCCGAAGAAGAAGCGCCGGCUAACUUCGUG